GUUUAGCCCCGAUUGCAGCGGCAUCCUUUUGUGCAAUGCAAUGGAACAAAAGAUAGAGCGAAAAGCGGGACAAGUG
RNAcentral lists this small RNA (76 nucleotides) under Flavobacterium noncentrifugens. RNAcentral describes it as "Flavo-1 RNA". It matches the Rfam family "Flavo-1 RNA". The record is from Rfam by way of RNAcentral. Lineage: Bacteria; Pseudomonadati; Bacteroidota; Flavobacteriia; Flavobacteriales; Flavobacteriaceae.